This 528-nucleotide ribosomal RNA is filed under the name uncultured bacterium. RNAcentral's name for it is "bacterial SSU rRNA". It matches the Rfam family "Bacterial small subunit ribosomal RNA", at positions 777 to 1304 of the family's 1533-position model. The record is from RNAcentral.
AAUAGAUACCCCGGUAGUCCAUGCCGUAAACGAUGUCUACUAGCCGUUGGGGCCCUUGAGGCUUUAGUGGCGCAGCUAACGCGAUAAGUAGACCGCCUGGGGAGUACGGUCGCAAGACUAAAACUCAAAUGAAUUGACGGGGGGCCCGCACAAGCGGUGGAGCAUGUGGUUUAAUUCGAUGCAACGCGAAGAACCUUACCUGGCCUUGACAUACAGAGAACUUUCCAGAGAUGGAUUGGUGCCUUCGGGAACUCUGAUACAGGUGCUGCAUGGCUGUCGUCAGCUCGUGUCGUGAGAUGUUGGGUUAAGUCCCGCAACGAGCGCAACCCUUUUCCUUAUUUGCCAGCACUUCGGGUGGGAACUUUAAGGAUACUGCCAGUGACAAACUGGAGGAAGGCGGGGACGACGUCAAGUCAUCAUGGCCCUUACGGCCAGGGCUACACACGUGCUACAAUGGUCGGUACAAAGGGUUGCUACUGCGCGAGCAGAUGCUAAUCUCAAAAAGCCGAUCGUAGUCCGGAUCGCAGU